Molecule: ribosomal RNA, 433 nt
Filed under: uncultured bacterium
Lineage: Bacteria
Description: partial 16S ribosomal RNA
Rfam family: Bacterial small subunit ribosomal RNA
Source: RNAcentral
AACGAACGCUGGCGGCAUGCCUAACACAUGCAAGUCGAACGAGACCUUCGGGUCUAGUGGCGCACGGGUGCGUAACGCGUGGGAACCUGCCCUUAGGUUGGGAAUAACUCCCCGAAAGGGGUGCUAAUAUCGGAUAAUGUCUUCGGACCAAAGAUUUAUCGCCUUUGGAUGGGCCCGCGUUGGAUUAGCUGGUUGGUAGGGUAAAAGCCUACCAAGGCGACGUUCCAUAGCUGGUCUGGGAGGAUGAUCAGCCACGCUGGAACUGAGACACGGCCCAGACUCCUACGGGAGGGAGCAGUGGGUAAUAUUGGACAAGGGGCGAAAGCCUGAUGCAGCAAUGCCGCGUGAGUGAUGAAGGCCUUAGGGUUGUAAAGCUCUUUUACCCGGGAUGAUAAUGACAGUACCGGGAGAAUAAGCACCGGCUAACUCCGUG